This is a long non-coding RNA of Trachemys scripta elegans, 270 nucleotides long. RefSeq lists it as uncharacterized. Lineage: Eukaryota; Metazoa; Chordata; Testudines; Emydidae. The record is from RefSeq and is a predicted model, not a curated record. The transcript has 3 exons.
UAAACUUUCCCUAAGAGGCGUGGUUUCUUGAAAUGAGGGGGUGGUCUCUGAAGGAAAGUCUGGGAACAUGGUUUGGGUAAUUUUACCAGAAAAAGAACAUGAGGAAAGAGGAAAUACGGUAACGAUGAAUUCCUAUGAGUCCCCGCACCUAACACGGAGGCCUUCAGCAGCAUCCAUUGACUACAAUAAUUAGGAUUCGGAUCCAGUGAAGCGUUCCCUUCAAGGUCAUGAUCUGCAUAGCAGGAAGGUGAUGGAGCAGGGGUGUGCCAC